Mugil cephalus (flathead mullet) is the source of this 560-nucleotide long non-coding RNA. RefSeq lists it as uncharacterized. The transcript is spliced from 3 exons. NCBI's taxonomy places the organism in Eukaryota, Metazoa, Chordata, Actinopteri, Mugiliformes, Mugilidae. The record is from RefSeq and is a predicted model, not a curated record.
UUUAUUGAGGGGAGAUCUGCUAACACAGUUUAGGUUGACCAUUUCACAACCAAUAGCAUUUAUUUUGAUUUUGGCAAAUUUCAUGAUUCAUAAUUUUUUUUUCUUUCUCUCUGCAGAUAAGUGGAGAGAGUCGAUUUCAUGGCAUACAUUGGUGGUUAAGAACUCCACUCCUUUCCAUGCUGAACUGUACAGUGAAGCAGUGCGCUCCACAGUAGGAGAAACCUUAGUCAAAGAACCCAAUGUUGAGCAGCUACCAAGGUGCAGUGGAAAGGCACUCAGUACAAAAGGACUCUUUCUGUGUUUAAACCAAGUCCUCCUAGUUAUGGAUGCAGAGAGUCCGCUUCUGUCUUUCAUAAAAUCAGUGCCUAAACUCAGAGACCCUGAGCCUUUGCUAGAGCAUCUGCAUUGUUUAGGACCUGGAGGACCUGAGCUACCUGCAGGAGAGUGACCUCCUUUCUGUCCUGAGACCAGUUGAAGCCAAGAAACGUCUGUCACUGCUCAAAAAGACAAGCCAACAAGAUGUCUUGGACAGUCCUCCAAGAAACCAGAGCAACCAACAG